RNAcentral lists this small RNA (1294 nucleotides) under Pan troglodytes (chimpanzee). RNAcentral describes it as "retained intron". The record is from RNAcentral. Lineage: Eukaryota; Metazoa; Chordata; Mammalia; Primates; Hominidae.
UUCCUCAACAGUUUCAGUCAUUCAGUCAGUACCGCUGUAAGACUGCCAAGAAGUCAGAGGAGGAGAUUGACUUUCUUCGUUCCAAUCCCAAAAUCUGGAAUGUUCAUAGUGUCCUCAAUGUCCUUCAUUCCCUGGUAGACAAAUCCAACAUCAACCGACAGUUGGAGGUAUACACAAGUGGAGGUGACCCCGAGAGUGUGGCUGGGGAGUAUGGGCGGCACUCCCUCUACAAAAUGCUUGGUUACUUCAGCCUGGUCGGGCUUCUCCGCCUGCACUCCCUGUUAGGAGAUUACUACCAGGCCAUCAAGGUGCUGGAGAACAUCGAACUGAACAAGAAGAGUAUGUAUUCCCGUGUGCCAGAGUGCCAGGUCACCACAUACUAUUAUGUUGGGUUUGCAUAUUUGAUGAUGCGUCGUUACCAGGAUGCCAUCCGGGUCUUCGCCAACAUCCUCCUCUACAUCCAGAGGACCAAGAGCAUGUUCCAGAGGACCACGUACAAGUAUGAGAUGAUUAACAAGCAGAAUGAGCAGAUGCAUGCGCUGCUGGCCAUUGCCCUCACGAUGUACCCCAUGCGUAUCGAUGAGAGCAUUCACCUCCAGCUGCGGGAGAAAUAUGGGGACAAGAUGUUGCGCAUGCAGAAAGGUGACCCACAAGUCUAUGAAGAACUUUUCAGUUACUCCUGCCCCAAGUUCCUGUCGCCUGUAGUGCCCAACUAUGAUAAUGUGCACCCCAACUACCACAAAGAGCCCUUCCUGCAGCAGCUGAAGGUGUUUUCUGAUGAAGUACAGCAGCAGGCCCAGCUUUCAACCAUCCGCAGCUUCCUGAAGCUCUACACCACCAUGCCUGUGGCCAAGCUGGCUGGCUUCCUGGACCUCACAGAGCAGGAGUUCCGGAUCCAGCUUCUUGUCUUCAAACACAAGAUGAAGAACCUCGUGUGGACCAGCGGCAUCUCAGCCCUGGAUGGUGAAUUUCAGUCAGCCUCAGAGGUUGACUUCUACAUUGAUAAGGACAUGAUCCACAUCGCGGACACCAAGGUCGCCAGGCGUUAUGGGGAUUUCUUCAUCCGUCAGAUCCACAAAUUUGAGGAGCUUAAUCGAACCCUGAAGAAGAUGGGACAGAGACCUUGAUGAUAUUCACACACAUUCAGGAACCUGUUUUGAUGUAUUAUAGGCAGGAAGUGUUUUUGCUACCGUGAAACCUUUACCUAGAUCAGCCAUCAGCCUGUCAACUCAGUUAACAAGUUAAGGACCGAAGUGUUUCAAGUGGAUCUCAGUAAAGGAUCUUUGGAGCCAGA